This 274-nucleotide ribosomal RNA is filed under the name uncultured Lachnospiraceae bacterium. RNAcentral's name for it is "partial 16S ribosomal RNA". It matches the Rfam family "Bacterial small subunit ribosomal RNA", at positions 72 to 339 of the family's 1533-position model. Lineage: Bacteria; Bacillati; Bacillota; Clostridia; Lachnospirales; Lachnospiraceae. The record is from RNAcentral.
AUUUCUUCGGAAUGAAGUUUUUGUGACUGAGUGGCGGACGGGUGAGUAACGCGUGGGUAACCUGCCUUGUACUGGGGGACAACAGUUGGAAACGACUGCUAAUACCGCAUAAGCGCACGGUGCUGCAUGGCACAGUGUGAAAAACUCCGGUGGUAUGAGAUGGACCCGCGUCUGAUUAGCUAGUUGGUGGGGUAACGGCUCACCAAGGCGACGAUCAGUAGCCGACCUGAGAGGGUGAUCGGCCACAUUGGAACUGAGACACGGUCCAAACUCC